CAGCCAGACUCUGCGCUGUGAACACCGUGCCUCUGCUUGGCCAAACAGCUGCCUGUAACAACACAGAAUUCAAAGUGGAGCUGGGGCGAUCCGUCACUCGCCACUCUCAGACAGGCUGCUAUUAAUCACGCCGGCCACAUCCAUCAGGUUCUUCUCUUUUGGCCACGGCUCAUAGUCACAGAAGCGCAGCCAGGGUCUCCUGAUAAAUCAAACCCAACAGUUCUAUGAUAAGGAUGACACAGGUGAAUGGGGGACAAAAGUGUACAGUCUUAGCCAUGUAUCCACAAAAUUUAAAAAGUGGAGGACAGAGAUGACUGCUGACUGCCAAGAGCCAGAGACUGACUUUCUUCUUUCUUUUCUUCGUUCUUUCUUUCUUCCUUCCUUCGUCUCUUUCUCUCUCUUUCUAUUUAUAACCUUCUUAAACCUCCAUCAUGUGUGGGAGUUAGUAUUACCACUGUGCUCAGCUGAAGAAAUCAAAGCUCAGAGAGGUUGAGAAAUGUGCACAAGAUCACAAAGUUUGUAGUAGCAAAGCUAGUAUUGAAGUUCAGGUCUAGGUGAGUGGCAGAAAUAGUUAGAAUAGCGAGGAAGAUAAGUAGUAAGGAGCUGAGUCAGGGGCAUAGAGAAGAUGAAAAGAGACAGAAAAGAAAAGAAUGAGAGGAAAAGUCCAGGAGCAGAAAGCAAACUGCCUUCACAACCAAGUUCCUCUGCUGGACUCUCAGCUUUGCCACAUGCAGCCUGGUGACUCAGGACAAUCCUAUCACCACAGCCUCUUCGUCUGUGCAAGGCGACCAGGGCCAGCCAGCCAGCUGUGACACUGGUUUGUUUUCAGGAUCAAAAGACGCUGUGUGGGAAGUUCUACAUCACUGGGCAUGCUGUACACAUGGAAGCUCUUCAGCUGGUGUUUAGAGGAUGGAUGAGACUCAGAAGGGCAGACCCCAGGAUAUAGGGAAUGAGAACAUCCACCAAAUGGUGAACAGAGCUGUGAGGAACCCCUGCCUAGGAUGUGGAGCCAACUUGGAUAACCACCUGCAGGUCUGCUUCACCCAGAAUCGACCCAACAGUGGAGAGCAGAAGGCCAGAAAGGAGAAAGGCUGAUGUGAGCAGUUUCUUUGAGGUGAGAACCAUAAAGGAAUUUUUGACUCCUGAGGCUGGGAGCUCCAGAGAGUGCU
This 1169-nucleotide long non-coding RNA is filed under the name Bos indicus x Bos taurus (hybrid cattle). RNAcentral's name for it is "lncRNA (ENSBIXG00000028336.1)". The record is from RNAcentral. Lineage: Eukaryota; Metazoa; Chordata; Mammalia; Artiodactyla; Bovidae.